Hydra vulgaris (swiftwater hydra) is the source of this 325-nucleotide non-coding RNA. The record is from RefSeq and is a predicted model, not a curated record. NCBI's taxonomy places the organism in Eukaryota, Metazoa, Cnidaria, Hydrozoa, Anthoathecata, Hydridae.
GUUUAAGUAUCUAACAUUUUUAUUGACUUUACUGUUUUUAAAAACUCAGUUGUUGAUUAAACCUCAAGCUUUAACCCAAGAUUUACCAACUUUAUUGGCAUCAUCACCAUCUCUGCCACCUGGCGCCAACAAUUCUAAAGAAAACCUCCAAAGUUUGUCAAGGAGUGAUAUUUUUUUUAUUUGGAGCUAAAGCCACCCUAAGCCUAAAUCAAAUUGGAUUUUUUAUAUAUAGGCCCAUAAUGGAGGCAAAGACUUGCCUCAUUUUAAAUUUCAGCCUCCUGGUGGCAGAAGAGGCAGGACAACAAACCUUGUUGUUAAUCACUAU